RNAcentral lists this non-coding RNA (50 nucleotides) under Devosia riboflavina. Its description in RNAcentral is "Guanidine-II sequence". It matches the Rfam family "Guanidine-II riboswitch aptamer (mini-ykkC)". From Rfam's summary of the family: Simpler in structure and has fewer highly conserved nucleotide positions than the ykkC-yxkD leader. Despite this each of its two stem-loop structures directly bind free guanidine. Therefore, mini-ykkC RNA motif represents a distinct class of guanidine-sensing RNAs. The record is from RNAcentral. Lineage: Bacteria; Pseudomonadati; Pseudomonadota; Alphaproteobacteria; Hyphomicrobiales; Devosiaceae.
AAGCGAGGACGACCUCCCCCAUCAAGGGUUCAGCGCACGGGACGGCCCGG